CCGAUGAGGAGCGGGGUAUAAUUGACAUUUGGGUAUGGGUACAUUAAACCUCAUACAUGUUGGAUCGUUUUAUGAUGUUCAUAGCGUUUUUUAUGAUGUUCAUAGCGUUAGGUUUGGCUUAAAAACUGCAAUUAAAAAUUUAUUUAGGUGUAUGACUUUUUUAGUUUAAGUAUGUAGUUUGUUUUAUGUAUAAUAAAAAAUAAUAUUCAUUCUGAUUAUUUUUGUUAUCUUAUUUCCUGUCUAACGUUUUUUUCUUGUAAAUUUAUGAAUCAAAAAUUUUAUAAAUAUCCAGUUGUAUUUGAUUAUUAAUUUAUCGUUACAAUCAUUUUCCCCAAAAAAUUUAUAUCCAAUAGUUUACAAACAAUAUAUACAUUUCUAAUAGUUAAAACACAUUUAUACAUCUUUUAUAAAAAAAGUGGAUUUGUUUAAUUGAAAUAGGUAAAAAUUCAUAUCCAAAACCUUAAUUAAUUACUGGGCGGUUAACAUUUUUUACCAAAAGAUUUUGAAGAAUUUACAACAAUUUAUCAUAAACCCUCAACAGAUGAUAUAGUAAUUAUUGUAAAAGCUGAAGUUUAUAUUUUUUUCAUUAUCUACUUUUAGAUUUAAAACUAAUUAUCCGAAAUCUAUAAGCGAAGAAUUUAAAAUAUCAAGUCCAAUUUCGGCAGCGAUAACAACUUACUCAGGUGGUAUUUAUCUUUUUCUCAGAGAUAAUACAUAUAUUACAUUAUCUAGUUGCAUCUCUGGAUAUAAUGUUCCUGGUUUAACAAACGAAUUAUUUGAAGGUGUUCCUAAUAAAAUAACAAGGACAUUUAGAUAUUUAAACGGAAAGCUGUACUUUUUUAAUGAAAAUAAUUACUUUGAAUAUGAUGAGUUUACUAAGAGUGUCAUACAAGCGGGACCUAAAACUUUAUCUAUAUUUAACAUUAAUUGUCCGCGAGAACCCAUCUUAAUUCAAUUGAAAAAAUUAUCUUUUAAAAAGAUUAUUACACACAAUGCAGUCCUGGUUGAAAAUUUAACAGAUUAUACUCGUGAAGAAGAUAGUUGGUGUAGUUGGUGUAUUCAUCAGUGUUUGUUUACAGUAAGUUUAUAUUACAACUUAAUAAAACGUUCUUUCUAAACAUCUAAUUUAAACAUCUAAUUUCAGCUUCAGACCUACAAAAGUUGUGCCAAAAAGACGCAUCGUAAGUUUAUCGAAAAUAUUGACUUCGGCACAAGUUCUUCAUCCACAAAUUCUUCCGAUUCAGACUACUGAAUUCUUCUCUAAAACCAACAUAAAUAAUCUUUUUUUGGUAAAUUCUUUAAUUUUUUAAAUUUGUUUACCACAUUUGAUUGCUAAAAAUGUGUUUAAUUUUUUAGGAAAAUUUUUAUCAAAUUUUUAUCAAACAAAAAGUGCGUCACAAAAUUCCUACGAUAAGGAAAGCGUGUUAUCUGUUAACCGCAAAAAUUGAUUAUAAAAGUUCCGUUUUUUACACAUUUCACCAGUUUUAUUAAAACUAUCUUUGUGAGAAGUUGUAUGUGCUCCGCUGUGUAUUUUUGCAUUUAAAUUUCAAAGGAUUCUGUAAUGGCUGAUCAACUAUUAAAUCUGAAUAAAAUUGCUGCCUGUGAAUAUACUGAUACAUAUGUCAGUGCCAACGAUUUGGAAGUGAACAAGAAAUAUAAAAUCAUCAAUUUAACCAAGGCAAACACACAACAUGGGGUUAUGAUGGUAGCAUAUCUGGACAACGUCGGUAAAGUUUUUUUACCUAAACGACUAACAGCAGUUAUGAAUGAUACCAUAAUUACGACACUAAUGGAAGGACUCGGAUCUUAUUUGAUUUAUAUGGGACGUAAGCAAGCUAAUGGAAAUCA
This is a long non-coding RNA of Tribolium castaneum (red flour beetle), 1848 nucleotides long. RefSeq lists it as uncharacterized. The record is from RefSeq and is a predicted model, not a curated record. Lineage: Eukaryota; Metazoa; Arthropoda; Insecta; Coleoptera; Tenebrionidae. The transcript has 2 exons.